This 497-nucleotide ribosomal RNA is filed under the name uncultured bacterium. RNAcentral's name for it is "partial 16S ribosomal RNA". It matches the Rfam family "Bacterial small subunit ribosomal RNA", at positions 28 to 507 of the family's 1533-position model. The record is from RNAcentral.
GAUGAACGCUGGCGGCGUGCCUAAUACAUGCAAGUCGAGCGAACGGACGAGAAGCUUGCUUUUCUGAUGUUAGCGGCGGACGGGUGAGUAACACGUGGAUAACCUACCUAUAAGACUGGGAUAACUUCGGGAAACCGGAGCUAAUACCGGAUAAUAUUUUGAACCGCAUGGUUCAAAAGUGAAAGACGGUCUUGCUGUCACUUAUAGAUGGAUCCGCGCUGCAUUAGCUAGUUGGUAAGGUAACGGCUUACCAAGGCAACGAUGCAUAGCCGACCUGAGAGGUUGAUCGGCCACACUGGAACUGAGACACGGUCCAGACUCCUACGGGAGGCAGCAGUAGGGAAUCUUCCGCGAUGGGCGAAAGCCUGACGGAGCAACGCCGCGUGAGUGAUGAAGGUCUUCGGAUCGUAAAACUCUGUUAUUAGGGAAGAACAUAUGUGUAAGUAACUGUGCACAUCUUGACGGUACCUAAUCAGAAAGCCACGGCUAACUACGUG